RNAcentral lists this ribosomal RNA (249 nucleotides) under uncultured Planctomycetaceae bacterium. Its description in RNAcentral is "partial 16S ribosomal RNA". It matches the Rfam family "Bacterial small subunit ribosomal RNA", at positions 355 to 599 of the family's 1533-position model. Lineage: Bacteria; Pseudomonadati; Planctomycetota; Planctomycetia; Planctomycetales; Planctomycetaceae. The record is from RNAcentral.
UCGAGGAUCUUCGGCAAUGGGCGAAAGCCUGACCGAGCGACGCCGCGUGUGGGAUGAAGGCCUUCGGGUUGUAAACCACUGUCAACGGGGAGGAAAUGCAGGAGGGUACUCCCUCCUGUUUGACCUAUCUGUGGAGGAAGUACGGGCUAAGUUCGUGCCAGCAGCCGCGGUAAGACGAACCGUACAAACGUUAUUCGGAAUCACUGGGCUUACAGGGUGCGUCGGCUGCGCGGUACGUUGGGUGUGAAA